UGCGUAGGUAGGACUGGAUUGAGUGCGAUCAGGAUCACCGCCCGCCAUGACCUCGCUAGCGCUAUUACAGCGGGUGUCGCAGGUUCGAAUCCUGCCGGGGCAC
This 103-nucleotide transfer RNA is filed under the name Streptomyces sp. SID8361. Its description in RNAcentral is "tRNA-OTHER". The record is from RNAcentral. Lineage: Bacteria; Bacillati; Actinomycetota; Actinomycetes; Kitasatosporales; Streptomycetaceae.